AGGUUAAGUUAUGAAGGGCGCAUGGUGAAUGCCUUGGUACUAGGAGCCGAUGAAGGACGGGACUAACACCGAUAUGCUUCGGGGAGCGGUAAGUACGCUUUGAUCCGGAGAUUUCCGAAUGGGGAAACCCAAUCAUCUUAGUCGAUGAUUACUUGAGCAGUGAAUUCAUAGCUGCCAAGAGGUAGACGCAGUGAACUGAAACAUCUUAGUAGCUGCAGGAAGAGAAAGAAAAUUCGAUUCCCUGAGUAGCGGCGAGCGAAACGGGAAGAGCCCAAACCACUGAGCUUGCUCAGUGGGGUUGUAGGACUGAACUUUGGAGUUACCAAAGAAUCAGGUAGUCGAAGUGGCUGGGAAGCCACACCAGAGAUGGUGAUAGUCCAGUAGACGAAACCUGGUUCUCUCCGUUCAGGAUCCUGAGUACGGCGGGACACGUGAAACCCCGUCGGAAUCCGCGAGGACCAUCUCGCAAGGCUAAAUACUCCCUAGUGACCGAUAGUGAACCAGUACCGUGAGGGAAAGGUGAAAAGCACCCCGGGAGGGGAGUGAAAUAGUUCCUGAAACCAUAUGCCUACAAGUAGUCAGAGCUCGUUAAUGAGUGAUGGCNGUGCCUACAAGCUGUCGGAGCCCGUUAAUGGGUGACGGCGUGCCUCUUGCAGAAUGAACCGGCGAGUCAUGAUUACGUGCAAGGUUAAGGUGGAAAAACCGGAGCCGCAGCGAAAGCGAGUCUGAAAUGGGCGUAUGAAGUACGUAGUUAUGUACCCGAAACCAGGUGACCUACCCAUGUCCAGGGUGAAGGUGCGGUAAAACGCACUGGAGGCCCGAACCCGUGUCUGUUGAAAAAGGCUGGGAUGAGGUGUGGGUAGCGGUGAAAUUCCAAACGAACUUGGAGAUAGCUGGUUCUCUCCGAAAUCUCUUUAGGGGGAGCCUCGGAAUCGAGAAUCUUGGAGGUAGAGCACUGUUUGGACGAGGGGCCCGUCAUGGGUUACCGACUUCAGAUAAACUCCGAAUGCCAAUGAUUUAUGUCCGGGAGUCAGACGAUGAGUGAUAAGAUCCACCGUCGAAAGGGGAACAGCCCAGAUCACCAGUUAAGGUCCCUAAAUAUAUGCUAAGUGGAAAAGGAUGUGGAGUUGCAUAGACAACUAGGAUGUUGGCUCAGAAGCAGCCAUCAUUUAAAGAGUGCGUAAUAGCUCACUAGUCGAGUGAUUCUGCGCCGAAAAUGUACCGGGGCUAAGCAUAUUACCGAAACUGUGGAUGUGUCCUUUUGGACACGUGAUAGGAGAGCGUUCUAAGGGCGACGAAGUUAGACCGUGAGGACUAGUGGAGCGCUUAGAAGUGAGAAUGCCGGUAUGAGUAGCGAAAGACAGGUGAGAAUCCUGUCCACCGAAUGACUAAGGUUUCCUGGGGAAGGCUCGUCCUCCCAGGGUAAGUCGGGACCUAAGGCGAGGCCGAGAGGCGUAGUCGAUGGAUAACAGGUUGAGAUUCCUGUACCAGUUAAAUGCGUUUGAAUGAUGGAGGGACGCAGGAGGCUAAGCAAACCAGACGAUUGGAAGUGUCUGGCCAAGCAGUAAGUCAGGUUUAGAGUCAAAUGCUUUAAGCCGGGUUGACAAGCUGUGAUGGGGAGCGAAAUUAAAGUAGCGAAGUUGCCGAUGUCACACUGCCGAGAAAAGCUUCUAGUGAGUAUUUAACUGCCCGUACCGCAAACCGACACAGGUAGUCGAGGAGAGAAUCCUAAGGUGAGCGAGUGAACUCUCGUUAAGGAACUCGGCAAAAUGACCCCGUAACUUCGGGAGAAGGGGUGCUGGUCGCAAGACCAGCCGCAGUGAAAAGGCCCAGGCGACUGUUUAUCAAAAACACAGGUUUCUGCAAAAUCGUAAGAUGAAGUAUAGGGGCUGACGCCUGCCCGGUGCUGGAAGGUUAAGAGGAUGGGUUAGCGUAAGCGAAGCUCAGAAUUGAAGCCCCAGUAAANNNGAAUUGCCUGUGAAGAUGCAGGCUACCCGCGACAGGACGGAAAGACCCCAUGGAGCUUUACUGUAGCUUGAUAUUGAGUGUUUGUACUACUUGUACAGGAUAGGUAGGAGCCGUAGAAACCGGGACGCUAGUUUCGGUGGAGGCAUUGGUGGGAUACUACCCUUGUAUUAUGACCACUCUAACCCGCACCACUGAUCGUGGUGGGAGACAGUGUCAGGUGGGCAGUUUGACUGGGGCGGUCGCCUCCCAAAAGGUAACGGAGGCGCCCAAAGGUUCGCUCAGAAUGGUUGGAAAUCAUUCGCAGAGUGUAAAGGCACAAGCGAGCUUGACUGCGAGACAGACAGGUCGAGCAGGGACGAAAGUCGGGCUUAGUGAUCCGGUGGUUCCGCAUGGAAGGGCCAUCGCUCAACGGAUAAAAGCUACCCUGGGGAUAACAGGCUUAUCUCCCCCAAGAGUUCACAUCGACGGGGAGGUUUGGCACCUCGAUGUCGGCUCAUCGCAUCCUGGGGCUGUAGUCGGUCCCAAGGGUUGGGCUGUUCGCCCAUUAAAGCGGUACGCGAGCUGGGUUCAGAACGUCGUGAGACAGUUCGGUCCCUAUCCGUCGCGGGCGUAGGAAAUUUGAGAGGAUCUGUCCUUAGUACGAGAGGACCGGGAUGGACAUACCGCUGGUGUACCAGUUGUUCCGCCAGGAGCAUCGCUGGGUAGCUAAGUAUGGAUGAGAUAAACGNUGUAUGGAUGAGAUAAACGCUGAAAGCAUCUAAGUGUGAAACUCGCCUCAAGAUGAGAUUUCCCAUUCCUUUGGAAGUAAGACCCCACAGAGAUGAUGUGGUAGAUAGGAUGGAAGUGGAAGUGCGGUGACGCAUGGAGCGGACCAUUACUAAUCGGUCGAGGACUUAACCAAG
Molecule: ribosomal RNA, 2870 nt
Filed under: Ligilactobacillus salivarius
Lineage: Bacteria; Bacillati; Bacillota; Bacilli; Lactobacillales; Lactobacillaceae
Description: 23S ribosomal RNA
Rfam family: Bacterial large subunit ribosomal RNA
Source: RNAcentral